RNAcentral lists this ribosomal RNA (119 nucleotides) under Rosa chinensis. The record is from RNAcentral. RNAcentral also lists the same sequence under 1 other name. Lineage: Eukaryota; Viridiplantae; Streptophyta; Magnoliopsida; Rosales; Rosaceae.
AGGUGCGAUCAUAUCAGCAAUAAUGCAUCGGAUCUCAUCGGAACAUCGAAGUUAAGUGUGCUUGGGCGAGAGCAGUACUAGGAUGGGUGACCUCUUGGGAAGUCCUCGUGUUUCACCCU